RNAcentral lists this non-coding RNA (45 nucleotides) under Trichobilharzia regenti. The record is from RNAcentral. Lineage: Eukaryota; Metazoa; Platyhelminthes; Trematoda; Strigeidida; Schistosomatidae.
ACCCAAAUGACGGGUCCCAAAUAGGAUGAAAUGUUCGUCCUGGAU